UACGAAGGGGGCUAGCGUUAAUCGGAAUUACUGGGCGUAAAGCGUGCGCAGGCGGUGAUGUAAGACAGGUGUGAAAUCCCCGGGCUUAACCUGGGAACUGCAUUUGUGACUGCAUCGCUGGAGUGCGGCAGAGGGGGAUGGAAUUCCGCGUGUAGCAGUGAAAUGCGUAGAUAUGCGGAGGAACACCGAUGGCGAAGGCAAUCCCCUGGGCCUGCACUGACGCUCAUGCACGAAAGCGUGGGGAGCAAACAGG
RNAcentral lists this ribosomal RNA (253 nucleotides) under uncultured bacterium. Its description in RNAcentral is "partial 16S ribosomal RNA". It matches the Rfam family "Bacterial small subunit ribosomal RNA", at positions 524 to 776 of the family's 1533-position model. The record is from RNAcentral.